GACGAACGCUGGCGGCGUGCUUAACACAUGCAAGUCGAACGGAAAGGCCCUGCUUUUGUGGGGUGCUCGAGUGGCGAACGGGUGAGUAACACGUGAGUAACCUGCCCUUGACUUUGGGAUAACUUCAGGAAACUGGGGCUAAUACCGGAUAGGAGCUCCUGCUGCAUGGUGGGGGUUGGAAAGUUUCGGCGGUUGGGGAUGGAUGGGCGGCUGAUCAGCUUGUUGGUGGGGUAGUGGCUUACCAAGGCUUUGACGGGUAGCCGGCCUGGGAGGGUGACCGGCGUCAUUGGGACUGAGAGACGGCCCAGACUGCUACGUGAGGCAGCAGUGGGGAAUAUGACACAGUGGGCGGGAGCCGGAUACAGCGACGCCGCGUGCGUGAUGACGGCCUUCGGGUUAUGAACCGCUGUCGCCUGUGACGAAGCGGGAGUGACGGUAAUGGGUAAAGAAGCACCGGCUAACUACGUG
This 468-nucleotide ribosomal RNA is filed under the name uncultured bacterium. RNAcentral's name for it is "partial 16S ribosomal RNA". It matches the Rfam family "Bacterial small subunit ribosomal RNA", at positions 28 to 507 of the family's 1533-position model. The record is from RNAcentral.